This 1939-nucleotide long non-coding RNA is filed under the name Olea europaea subsp. europaea. The record is from RNAcentral. Lineage: Eukaryota; Viridiplantae; Streptophyta; Magnoliopsida; Lamiales; Oleaceae.
AUUGAAACUAGCUGUCACUCCAAAUCUAACAUAAUUAAAGUUAUGUUUGUCACAUGAUUAGGAUUUGCAAAAUAACUAGAAUGAUUGGAAAUAGCCCAACACCCCUACAACGUGCUCAAAUUGCUAUUGAAAACUAAGUAAAUCAUGAAGUAAAAUGGGAGCGAACCUUUACUGAACACGUCGAGGAUUUCUUUUCUAAGUGGAAGCAAGCAAAAUCAUUUGGAUUUAAUGAGGGGACAAUCCUCUCGAUAUGCCAUCUCAUAAGUACUAUGCCGCCCUAAUGGAGAGAUGUGGCUUACUUCAUGAGGGAUCUGAAUUAUGGGCUGUAUUCGCAAGAAAAAUGGGAUAUGAUCAAUUUUAAGGGAUAUUGUCAAGAUAUCAUAAUCCUAUGGAACAAGAGCUAGUGCAAAAGCUCGAGGCCGAGCUUAAACCGAAACCAAAGCUAGAGGAAGAACUUGAUGAAGACCCAGAGGAAGAGCCUGAAGAGGACCUAGAAAAGGAAUCGAAUUAGAGCCGGAAGAACCUGAGCAAGAUUUUGAGCCACAAAAUUUCAUUGAUUUAGUUACAGAUUUUGAGCCAGAGUCAUGCAUUACUUCAGACGAUAAGACUCCACCAAAAUUAGAUUCUUAAGACUAAAAAAAAUAAAUAAAAUUAGAAAGAGAUGUUAUUUGCUUACUUAGGAAAGGGUGUUUUUUUUUUUCUUUUUUUGGGUAUUAUUUUUUAAAACAAAAUACUAUAUGAAAGAUUUGGAAAUUUUUAAAUUUUUCGCCAUUAUAAAAAAAAUAUUAUUCUUAUUAUGGUUAUUUUUGUGUUAUUAAAUAUUUCUAAUUUAAAAUUUUAUUUGUGUUAAGAAAAUGACAAGACAACAACAAAACUAAGGUACAGUUAUUAGGGAUUUGUUGAGGGCUGUACAAGAUCUGGGUAGACAACAAGUACAACUUUGUUCCCAAAAUGCAAACAAUACCAGCUCAAUUGUGGAAUAGUUCCGUCGUUAUAAACCUCCAACCUUCGAUGGUAAGGUAGACCCAUUCGAAUCUUCAAAUAUCUAUCUUGCACUGAUACUCAGAAGGUAUUAUGUGCAAAAUUCAUGUUAGUUGAUGAUGCAGGCCACUGGUGGGAGUCAGUAUCGUGAACGAGAAAAGAGUUACAACAACGUGCUCUGAUUUGAACACAAUUUAAGGACGAGAUGAUGUGAAAAUACUUCCCACAAGCUCUGAGAGAUCGAAAAGAGACAUAAUUUCACUAUGGUGUGGCUGAAUGUAGAGCAAUCCGCCCUCACAGUCCUUCAACUUAAAUAGGGAAAGAUGCAGUUUGAAGAUUAUGAGAGAAAGUUUGAACAACUCUUUAGGUACGCAUCAUGCCUAGUGGACAGAGCAGCAAAGAAAGCAAGGAAGUUCGAGUUAGGAUUGCGCCUUGAGAUUGGUGGAAUAAUGGCAUCCCAUCAAUUUACCACAUAUAGCCGACUAUUGUAGACUGCCCAAGCAAUCUCAAAUAGAUUGGAAAUUGACCAAACUCCUCAACAAGGGGUUGAGCCUUCAGGAAAGAGGAAAUGGAAUGGGUCCAAUGAAAAGAAAAGAGAAGGACUAAACAAAAAGGUAAAUUUCGAAUCAAAUUUUGGACAAGUCGUUUCACCCUGCCCAAAGUGUAACAAAAUGUAUAGGGGUGAAUAUCUCUUUGAGAAGCAUUUGUGCUAUCGAUUGGCUAAUACAGGGUAUAUUUUCAAAAACUGCAAAGAGGACUUUUUGAAGAAGAAUGACGAGCCAGAAAAGAAGGAAAAGACCAGAGUUUUCACUUUAACCUAAGGACAGGCCACGAAAAAUCCGAAUGCAGGUAAUUUCGAUGACGAAAUUCUCUUAAAGGGUAAAUUGUAGCAACCCGAAAAAAAUAAUAAUAGAAUAAGAAAAAAAGAAUUUGUUUGUUAUAUUAUUUUAAAAGUUGG